ACGGUCGUAUCAUGUUGAAACACCGGUUCCUGUACGAUCUACCGAAGUUAAGCAACGUCAAGACUGGCCACUACUUAGAUGGGUGACCAUUUGGGAAUUCCAAGUGCUGU
Non-coding RNA from Acanthosepion pharaonis, 110 nucleotides. NCBI's taxonomy places the organism in Eukaryota, Metazoa, Mollusca, Cephalopoda, Sepiida, Sepiidae. The record is from the annotation of a GenBank genome assembly.